Molecule: unclassified non-coding RNA, 326 nt
Filed under: soil metagenome
Description: partial contains 5.8S ribosomal RNA, internal transcribed spacer 2, and large subunit ribosomal RNA
Rfam family: 5.8S ribosomal RNA (bases 1-120)
Source: RNAcentral
GAUGAAAAACGCAGCGAAAUGCGAUAAGUAGUGUGAAUUGCAGAAUUUAGUGAAUCAUCGAAUCUUUGAACGCACAUUGCGCCCUAUAGUAUUCUGUAGGGCAUGCCUGUUCGAGCGUUAUUGAGACCUCAAGCUCUGCUUGGAAAUGGGCGCUUGUCUUGCCUUGCAGACUCGCCUUAAAACCAUUGGCAGCUGAUUUACAAUGUUUGGUGCACAGUACAUGAGCCCAAGUGUUGCAAUGAGUGGCCCAAAAGUAUACAAUAGAAGCUUAACCUCGGAUCAGGUAGGGAUACCCGCUGAACUUAAGCAUAUCAAUAAGCGGAGGA